Molecule: long non-coding RNA, 769 nt
Organism: Passer domesticus (house sparrow)
Lineage: Eukaryota; Metazoa; Chordata; Aves; Passeriformes; Passeridae
Exons: 3
Source: RefSeq, a predicted model, not a curated record
CUCCCUGGCUCUGUGCCCCUGUGCUGGCUCAGGAGGCAGCUGGGGAGGGGGAGGACACCUGGGAACCUGGAGCUGGGGUCACUGAGGGACCUGUGAAGGGCAGUGCUGGGAUCUCCCCUGCUGAAGAUUGCUUCAGGGUCUAACACCAGGACACCUCAGGGCAAAACCAGGAGUUAAAAUUGCCCAGCACCAGAAACAGGGCCACACAACCAGAACGAAACAUGUUCCUUCUCCCUUCUGCAUGAAGCUUUCCAAGAAGUCUUUAAUGAAACUCUUGGUGUCCCUCAGUGUUGGAGCUCCAGCUAAACCCAACAGCAGGGAAAGGGACAAUCCCUCACAGCUCAGCUUGCCCUGACCUGCAGAGCAGCCAGGGGGUGCUGGGGGGGAUUUCUCACUGCCAGGAAAUGCUUCCAAAGGCUGCUGUGCAGCCCCAGCACAGGGACCUGGUCUCUCUGUUCCCAGCCCUGUCACUGCCAUGACAUCAGCUGGGACCAGUCACUUCCCGUGGGUGUCCCAGCCAAACAGUGCCUGGAAGCUGCCUGGAUUGUGCAGAAACUCACUCUGAGCACCCUGACUGCUGCUGAAUCAAAUGAAGUGAAUCAGAGAGUUCUGCAGGGCUGCCCCAAAGCAAGCUGCAAGCUGUUCCUCUCUCAGCUCUGAGUGCUGGGAAGAGGAAUGUGAGCAGGGUAAUGAUGUUGUACACAGAGUUUUGGAGCACUCAGUGUUCUCAGAAAUGUAAAUAACACCACAAAACACCACAUGGGAUAUG